CCUACGGGAGGCAGCAGUGGGGAAUUUUCCGCAAUGGGCGUAAGCCUGACGGAGCAAUACCGCGUGAGGGAUGAAGGCUCGUGGGUCGUAAACCUCUUUUCCCAAGGAAGAAGUUCUGACGGUACUUGGGGAAUAAGCAUCGGCUAAUUCCGUGCCAGCAGCCGCGGUAAUACGGGAGAUGCGAGCGUUAUCCGGAAUCACUGGGCGUAAAGCGUCUGUAGGUUGUUUGUUAAGUCUGUUGUUAAAAACUGAAGCUCAACUUCAGGGGUGCGGCAGAAACUGGCAAACUUGAGUAUGGUAGGGGUAGGAGGAAUUUCUAGUGUAGCGGUGAAAUGCGUAGAUAUUAGGAAGAACACCAUUAGCGAAGGCGUCCUACUGGGCCAAAACUGACACUCAGAGACGAAAGCUAGGGGAGCAAACGGGAUUAGAUACCCCGGUAGUCCUAGCCGUAAACGAUGGAUACUAGAUGUCGCGGGUUUACCUGCGGUGUCGUAGCUAACGCGUUAAGUAUCCCGCCUGGGAAGUACGCACGCAAGUGUGAACUUAAAGGAAUUGACGG
Molecule: ribosomal RNA, 559 nt
Filed under: uncultured bacterium
Lineage: Bacteria
Description: bacterial SSU rRNA
Rfam family: Bacterial small subunit ribosomal RNA
Source: RNAcentral